UGGGGAAUUUUGGACAAUGGGCGAAAGCCUGAUCCAGCCAUGCCGCGUGUCUGAAGAAGGCCUUCGGGUUGUAAAGGACUUUUGUCAGGGAGGAAAUCCCUAGCGUUAAUACCGCUGGGGGAUGACAGUACCUGAAGAAUAAGCACCGGCUAACUACGUGCCAGCAGCCGCGGUAAUACGUAGGGUGCGAGCGUUAAUCGGAAUUACUGGGCGUAAAGCGUGCGCAGGCGGUUUGAUAAGCCAGAUGUGAAAUCCCCGAGCUCAACUUGGGAACUGCGUUUGGAACUGUCAGACUAGAGUGCGUCAGAGGGGGGUGGAAUUCCGCGUGUAGCAGUGAAAUGCGUAGAGAUGCGGAGGAACACCGAUGGCGAAGGCAGCCCCCUGGGAUGACACUGACGCUCAUGCACGAAAGCGUGGGGAGCAAACA
This 427-nucleotide ribosomal RNA is filed under the name uncultured bacterium. RNAcentral's name for it is "partial 16S ribosomal RNA". It matches the Rfam family "Bacterial small subunit ribosomal RNA", at positions 355 to 774 of the family's 1533-position model. RNAcentral also lists the same sequence under 1 other name. The record is from RNAcentral.